AGUGGAGCAAGUAGUUUUCAAAUGAGCAAGGGUGUCAGGCUGGGAUGGAGAUGUGAGCAGACAAAGGGUGCUAAAGUCACUCUUUUCCUUUGUAAAAGGAUUUUUAUUUUUAUGUCUAUGGGUGUUUUUCUGCUCUUAGGUAUGUGUACUACUUGUGUGCUGGAGGAGGCCAGAAGAGGGCAUCAGAUCCCUCAGAACUGGAGUUACAGGCAGCUAAGAGCUGCCACUGGCAUGCUGGGAUUUGAACCUCACCCAUUCCUCCGGAAGAGCAAUCAGAGAUCCUAACUAACUACUCAACCACAUCUCUAAUUCUUCUUACCAUCUCUGUUUCUCCCUCUUUGUUUCUUCCCUUCCUUCCUUCCUUAAUUGUGUGUUCUAGGGGUUAGAAGGCAGGGAGGAGAGGAAGCAAGAGACACAGAAUUAACAACGACAGAACCUUGCAAUGAAUCUUUUGGGAAUGAGAGCUCUGAUCAAGAGAAAGUUAAAAAAAAAUUGCCAGGUAGGGGAUGCCAAUCAAUAGAAACUGGAGACUCUUUGUAGUGACUUUGAGAGUCUCCUUCUACAACCCCCACAACAGAUGCACAUUUAAGAGUCUAGGGACUGUUGAAAAAACAACAAACUUCUUUGUUGUUGUUGUUGUUGAGAGUCUUGUUAUGUAUAGCAGACUGCCCUGGAUCCUGUGACUGAGCAAAUUUUGUGUUUUGAGACAGGUUCUCCCCAUGUAGCCCAGCUUAACUCUGAACUCACUACUUGACCCAUGUUGGUCUCAAGCAAUCUCCCUGAGAGAGUGGGAGGGAUGCACUUCUAUUCUACGUAGGGUGAGGGCUUGUCGUGCAGCUGUAGGUAUGUCAAAGAGGGUUCAUCUACGGGAAAAUGGGGACGUGUCUGUCAGAGCGCUGCGAUGUUGCUGUGGGCACCGCACAGAGUAAGUAGGGAAGGAAAGGAGAUGCUUGGCUCGGGUACCGCUGCGUCCAUCACCCAGGACUCUACAGGAGCACAGGGCGGGAGGCCCAACCCUCUCCCCAGCUCGCAAAUUCUAGUAGACAUCGAAGCUAGUGCACCAGGAGACUUAGUAGGGACGCCUCCGGUAUCCAUGGCGACUGAGCUAGGCGCUAGUAACCACAGCGGACGAUACAGCUCGGAGAGGAUCCAGAGCCGCACCUUCUUAUCCCGAACGUCGACCGGGAUGACCCGGAAGUCUGUGUGGUGAUCCGGAAGCAGAUCCAAGCGACAGCCCCCCAGGAGCCACCGCCCCCUCUUCGCGGUGCUCGUGCUUAGUGCUGCGUGGAGUCCGGCACAGCUGGGGCUGCCCGAUGGUCCCCAGCUGGCGGAAGCACGGGCGGAGGGAGGAUGACCUCUCCUUGGGGUCACAGUGCGGACCUGGCCCGCUUCUACACUGUCACCGAGCCCCAGCGACACCCCAGGGGCUACACUGUCUAUAAGGUUACCGCACGGGUUGUUUCACGGAGAAAUCCAGAGGACGUCCAGGAGAUAAUUGUGUGGAGGAGAUACAGUGACUUCAAGAAACUGCACAGAGAAUUAUGGCAAAUUCACAGGAAUGCAUUUCGACACUCUGAGCUAUUUCCCCCGUUUGCUAAAGGGACAGUGUUUGGGCGGUUCGACAAGACGGUGAUUGAGGAGCGACGGCAGUGUGCUGAGGACCUGCUGCAGUUCUCUGCCAACAUCCCCGCCCUGUACAACAGCAGGCAGCUCCAGGACUUCUUCAAGGGUGGGGUAAUUAGUGAUGGCUCUGAGUUAAUUGGCCCUGCUGAAGCUUACCCAGACUCCCCGGCCAACGCCUUUCCUGAGUGCGGUACUGAAGGAUUCUCCAGUGACAGUGACCUUCUGUCCCUCACUGUUGAUGCAGACUCUCUUGCCGAGGUAGAUGAUGGAAUGGCUUCCCGUCAGGGUUCUCCCAGUAGAACCUUUGGUCUGAGUCUGUCUACGGAUUCUUCGGCAGUAGGGGCUGUUGCUUCUGACAGUGAACCAAGCAGAGUAGAAGACCGGGAAAGCCGCAGCCUCUUCCCCAGCAGCUUAAAGCCAAGGCUUGGCAGGAGAGAUUACCUGGAGAAGGCAGGGGAACUUAUCAAACUGGCCUUAAAGAAGGAGGAGGAAGAUGACUAUGAAGCUGCUUCUGACUUUUACAGGAAGGGCGUCGAUCUGCUCCUAGAAGGUGUACAAGGAGAGUCGAGCCCCACGCGUCGGGAGGCUGUGAAGAGAAGGACUGCGGAGUACCUCAUGCGUGCAGAGAGCAUCUGUAGCCUCCGGGCCGCGCCUCAGCUCCACACGGGACCACAGCCUCCAGGAUCACUAAGUUCAAGGCCCCCUUGGAGCCUGAGGAGCCCUGCCGAGGAGCUGAAGGCCUUCCGAGUCCUUGGGGUGAUUGACAAGGUUUUACUUGUAAUGGAUACAAGGACAGAGCAGACAUUCAUUUUAAAAGGUCUAAGGAAAAGCAGCGAGUGCAGCAGGAACAGAAAGACCAUCAUCCCCCGCUGUGUGCCUAACAUGGUGUGUCUGCACACGUACAUCAUCUCGGAGGAAUCGGUGUUUCUCGUGCUGCAGCGCGCCGAAGGUGGAAAACUCUGGUCGUAUAUCAGUAAAUUUCUGAACAGAAGCUCUCAGGAAAGCUUGGACAUUAAGGAAGGGAGACCGUCCAUGCCUCCUCGAGUGUGCCUGCAGCAGCCAAGUGCCAGUCCCCAGGGCGGCAGCAGCUUCGAGUCCAGAGGGAGCGACACGGGGAGCAUGCUGAAGGCUCUGCCUCUGAAGACCAGUCUCACCCCGAGUUCUCAAGACGACAGCAACCAGGAAGACGACGGCCAGCCCAGCUCUCCCAAGUGGCUGGAUUCGGGCUCCAGUUCAGAGGAUGAGUGCACAGCGGGCUACCUGACGCUGUGCAACGAGUAUGGGCAAGAAAAGAUGGACCUGGUGUCUCUGAGCGAGGAGUCUGUUAUGCAGCCUGAAGGGGACAAGGCUGACACCCAGGCGGUUAGUUCCCCAGCAUCCCUCGCCACUGGCAGUGUGAGCCCUAGCACCCACCUCAGGGUCUUCUCUGGAGGUGAGGAUCUAGAGGCGGUUUCUUCUCCUCCAACAUCUGAAUCCCUCAGUAGGUCAAAAAACAGCCCUAUGGAAUUCUUCAGAAUAGACAGUAAAGACAGCACAAGUGAGCUCCUGGGACUGGAUUUUGGUGAGAAAUUACACAGUCUGAAACCAGAGCCUUUGAAAGCCCUCUUUACCCUUGAAGAUGGAGACAGCCCUUCUCAGAGUCUUGAUCCUGGUGAGAGCAAGAGAGAGAGUGAAGCUCAGGACUCCGUGAGCCGGGGCUCAGAUGAUUCCGUCCCAGUUAUCUCAUUUAAAGAGGCGGCUGCAGAGGCUAUCAGUGGGGCUGAGGAGGGAAGGCCUGACCUUCUUGUGAAUUUACCUGGGGAACUGCAGCCAACCAAAGAGGCUUCAGCAAUGGACCCUAAGUUUUCACAGGCCAGUGCAGGCAGGCUGGAUAGUAAACUGCUGGAAGCCCCGGAUGUGUUGUGCCUCAGGCUGAGUUCUGAACAGUGCCAUGGUCUGGGACCAGAAGGCCCAGAGGAACUGAGCGAUCCCACUGAAUUCUGUCCCGGAGGUGUGAUCCCAGAGCACGAUGCUCAGGCAGAUCCCGGGGUGCUAUUCGAGGCUGCCGUUGAUCACAGGAGCUCCCCAGACCAGUUUCUGUUUUCCAGCUUGCGUUCCGAGUCUGACAGGCUGGGGCAGGUGGAGGUAGUGGUCACUGCACAGGCCUUGCAAGAAAGCCUGUUCCACAUUUCUAGUCCCUGCUCAGGUGCUAAUAAAGAACACAGUGCAUACGCCGACACUGCCACGUCGGAGGAGGUGUUGCUGUUCACAGAACCGACUAAAGAAGAAGCGAACUCUCUGUUCCAGAGAGACUCGGAGGCCCAGGAGCGAGGUGUGGGAGCCGGGGAAGCAGACAAGGAAAUCCAUCAGAUCUUUGAGGACCUGGAUAAACGACUAGCAGCUAGCUCCAGGUUCUUCAUCCCAGAGGGCUGCAUUCAGAGAUGGGCAGCGGAAAUGGUGGUAGCCCUUGACGCCUUGCACAGAGAGGGGAUUGUGUGCCGAGAUCUGAACCCAAACAACAUCUUAUUGAAUGAUGGAGGACACAUUCAGCUAACGUAUUUUAGCAGGUGGAGUGAGGUUGAAGAUUCCUGCGACAGCGAUGCCGUAGCGAGAAUGUACUGUGCCCCAGGUUAGAGCACUCUCCUCAAAUGCUUCACUUGAAAGGUGGCUCUUGCUUCUCUCUGCCAGUUGUGCCUUUCACUAGUGGCUCACACACUCGUCGGGUCUGCUCACCCCUUCAGCCCUAACGAAGAAAAGUAGGGGAUUGAACUGUAUGGAAUCUAAGAUGAGGUUGGAGCAGUCACAGAAGAAACUGAAGCCUGUGAUUGGUGGAGCCUGGGUGCUGUCCUCUUCGAACUUCUCACUGGCAAGACGUUGGUGGAAUGCCACCCAGCCGGAAUAAAUACCCACACUACUUUGAACAUGCCAGGUUGUGUUUCUGAAGAGGCUCGCUCACUCAUCCAACAGCUCCUGCAGUUCAACCCUAUGGAGCGCCUGGGUGCUGGAGUGGCUGGUGUUGAAGAUAUCAAAUCUCACCCGUUUUUCACCCCUGUGGAUUGGGCAGAGUUGACAAGAUGAACACCACAAGGAUUGUCCUUACCAGACAGGUCCCUGGUGACAGAGUUCAGGAGUGGCUGGGCUUCAGGCACCUUGCAGCUAGUGUGCCAGAGUCUUGGGACAAGGACCUUAGAGGAAGUGAUGGGGCAGGAGAUUAACAGAUUGUCUUACACUUGCUGUCUGGAAAGAGAAGAGCUAGCCGCCCCAGCAGCUGCUAUGUGCACACCUUCCCCAAGGUGAGACGUAACUUGCUCAGUGUACCGCCUUGCCAGGAGGCUGGAAGUACAGAAGGAAGACUGAUGGGAGUCAAGGACCCUUUGGUGGCAGCUGAUGGUGCUUCUGCUAAACAAGACUGGUUUACACGAUAUAGUCAAUACUGCUGAGUGACACUAAAUGCGCUCUGUGAACAGUGUCACCAGUAGACUGGCAAAACAAAAUGGAGUGCCCAGUGCUGAGCAGGCUGGCUACCUCUGAGGAAAAACACUCUUGCCAGCUUUGAACUUUCUGGUCGAUGCUACUAACUCUGAGGGGCUCCUGGGAGCACACAUGUCCGUCCCCCAGUUCCCCUCUCCCCUGCGCUAUUUCCUGCAUCCUCUGCUGCGUCUUUUGGAUUCUGCUUUUCCUACUUCUGUUAACACACAUGCAGUGAGAAAGGGAGGGGUAUUUAUUUCCCCCAAACUGCCAGCUUAACAAGACUAAGAAAUCAUGGUGUCAAAUAAAUGUGGUUAAACCUUG
Molecule: RNA transcript, 5394 nt
Organism: Mus musculus (house mouse)
Lineage: Eukaryota; Metazoa; Chordata; Mammalia; Rodentia; Muridae
Gene: Rps6kc1
Gene name: ribosomal protein S6 kinase polypeptide 1
Exons: 15
Source: RefSeq, marked validated